GCAUAUCAAUAAGCGGAGGAAAAGAAACUAACAAGGAUUCCCCUAGUAACUGCGAGUGAAGCGGGAAAAGCUCAAAUUUAAAAUCUGUCAGUCUUUGGCUGUCCGAGUUGUAAUCUAGAGAAGUGUUAUCCGCGUUGGACCGUGUACAAGUCUCCUGGAAUGGAGCGUCAUAGAGGGUGAGAAUCCCGUCUUUGACACGGACUGCCAGGGCUUUGUGAUGCGCUCUCAAAGAGUCGAGUUGUUUGGGAAUGCAGCUCAAAAUGGGUGGUAAAUUCCAUCUAAAGCUAAAUAUUGGCGAGAGACCGAUAGCGAACAAGUACCGUGAGGGAAAGAUGAAAAGAACUUUGGAAAGAGAGUUAAACAGUACGUGAAAUUGCUGAAAGGGAAACGCUUGAAGUCAGUCGCGUUAUCCAGGGAUCAACCUUGCUUUUGCUUGGUGUACUUUCUGGUUAAUGGGUCAGCAUCAAUUUUGACUAUUGGAAAAAGAUCAGGGGAAUGUGGCAUCUUCGGAUGUGUUAUAGCCCUUGGUUGCAUACAAUGGUUGGGAUUGAGGAACUCAGCACGCCGCAAGGCCGGGUUUUUAACCACGUACGUGCUUAGGAUGCUGGCAUAAUGGCUUUAAUCGACCCGUCUUGAAACACGGACCAAGGAGUCUAACAUACCUGCGAGUGUUUGGGUGGAAAACCCGAGCGCGUAAUGAAAGUGAAAGUUGAGAUCCCUGUCGUGGGGAGCAUCGACGCCCGGACCAGACCUUUUGUGACGGUUCCGCGGUAGAGCAUGUAUGUUGGGACCCGAAAGAUGGUGAACUAUGCCUGAAUAGGGUGAAGCCAGAGGAAACUCUGGUGGAGGCUCGUAGCGAUUCUGACGUGCAAAUCGAUCGUCAAAUUUGGGUAUAGGGGCGAAAGACUAAUCGAACCAUCUAGUAGCUGGUUCCUGC
RNAcentral lists this ribosomal RNA (937 nucleotides) under Cortinarius meleagris. Its description in RNAcentral is "eukaryotic LSU rRNA". It matches the Rfam family "Eukaryotic large subunit ribosomal RNA", at positions 38 to 961 of the family's 3401-position model. Lineage: Eukaryota; Fungi; Basidiomycota; Agaricomycetes; Agaricales; Cortinariaceae. The record is from RNAcentral.